UACGGAGGGUGCAAGCGUUGCUCGGAAUUAUUGGGCGUAAAGGGCAAGUAGGUGGUCUCAUUUGUCUGGGGUGAAAGCCUUGAGCUUAACUCAAGAAGUGCCCCAGAAACGGUGAGACUGGAGUCCUGGAGAGGGUCGUGGAAUUCCCGGUGUAGCGGUGAAAUGCGUAGAGAUCGGGAGGAACACCAGAGGCGAAAGCGGCGACCUGGACAGGCACUGACACUCAACUGCGAAAGCGUGGGGAGCAAACAGG
This 253-nucleotide ribosomal RNA is filed under the name uncultured bacterium. Its description in RNAcentral is "partial 16S ribosomal RNA". It matches the Rfam family "Bacterial small subunit ribosomal RNA", at positions 524 to 776 of the family's 1533-position model. The record is from RNAcentral.